Molecule: ribosomal RNA, 253 nt
Filed under: uncultured bacterium
Lineage: Bacteria
Description: partial 16S ribosomal RNA
Rfam family: Bacterial small subunit ribosomal RNA
Source: RNAcentral
UACGUAGGGUGCUAGCGUUACUCGGAAUUACUGGGCGUAAAGCGUGCGCAGGCGGCUUUGCAAGACAGAUGUGAAAUCCCCGGGCUCAACCUGGGAACUGCAUUUGUGACUGCAAGGCUAGAGUACGGUAGAGGGGGAUGGAAUUCCGCGUGUAGCAGUGAAAUGCGUAGAUAUGCGGAGGAACACCGAUGGCGAAGGCAAUCCCCUGGACCUGUACUGACGCUCAUGCACGAAAGCGUGGGGAGCAAACAGG